AAUGUAAAUUAAUUAACUAAGGUAGUAUUAGUUAUGAUCUUGAAACUUAAAAAAUUUGGCGGUAUUUUAGUCUAUUCAGAGGAACCUGUCCUGUAAUCGAUAUUCCACGUUGGACCUUACUUAAAUUUGUUUUUCAGUUUAUAUACCGUCGUUAUAAGAAUAUUUUAAAAGAAUAAUAAUUUUCAAUAAUUUUUACAAUAAUUUAUAUCAGAUCAAGGUGUAGCUUAUGUUUAAGUAGAGAUGGGUUACAAUAAAUUUAUUUUUGGAUUUAAGUAUGAAAAAUUUAAUGAAAUUGGAUUUGAUAGUAAAAUUAUAAAGAUUAAUAAUUUGAUUAUAGCUCU
RNAcentral lists this ribosomal RNA (341 nucleotides) under Hydrellia modesta. RNAcentral describes it as "partial 12S ribosomal RNA". The record is from RNAcentral. Lineage: Eukaryota; Metazoa; Arthropoda; Insecta; Diptera; Ephydridae.